GUCUAAUGGAGGUAAAGCACUGAUUGGACGCGGGUCCCCAAAAGGAUACCAACUUCUAUCAAACUCAGAAUGCCAUAUAGAUAUACUCAGGAGUCAGACUAUGUGAGAUAAGUUUCAUAGUCAAAAGGGAAAGAGCCCAGACCGACAGCUAAGGUCCCAAAGUGUGUGUUAAGUGGAAAAGGAUGUUAGGUUUCUAAGACAACUAGGAUGUUGGCUCAGAAGCAGCCACUCAUUUAAAGAGUGCGUAACAGCUCACUAGUCGAGAGGUCUAGCGCCGAAAAUGUCCGGGGCUAAAACACACCACCGAAGCUACGGAAUUACCUAUGGUAAUUGGUAGAGGAGCAUUCUGUAAGGAUGAAGCACAAUUGAAAGAGAGUGUGGACGAAACAGAAGAGAGAAUGCCGGAAUGAGUAGCGAGAUAUAUGUGAGAAUCAUAUAGGUCGAAUGUCUAAGGUUUCCUGGGUAAAGCUGAUCUGCUCAGGGUAAGUCGGGACCUAAGGUGAGGGCGAGAGCCGUAAUCGAUGGACAACAGGUAGAAAUUCCUGUACUACGUAUAAUCAGAACUGUGGGGACGCAGGAGGAUAGGAAAACCGGAGAAUGGAAAAAUCCGGCUAAGUACAAAGGUGUGAGCAAUAGGCAAAUCCGUUGCUAUAAGCUGAAGUACGAAUGGGAGCGAAGAAAAGUAGCGAAGUUUCUGAAUCCACACUGUCAAGAAAAGCCGCUAUUGCGUUAUACGUACCCGUACCGCAAACCGACACAGGUAGACGAGGAGAAAAUCCACAGACCGACGGGAGAAGUGUUGUUAAGGAACUCGGCAAAAUGACCCCGUAACUUAGGGAUAAGGGGAGCCAACGCAAGUUGGUCACAGAAAAGAGGCUCAAGCGACUGUUUAGCAAAAACAUAGGUCUAUGCGAAACCGUAAGGUGAUGUAUAUGGGCUGACACCUGCCCGGUGCUGGAAGGUCAAAAGGAGAGGUUAGCGUAAGCGAAGCCUUGAAUUCAAGCCCCAGUAAACGGCGGCCGUAACUAUAACGGUCCUAAGGUAGCGAAAUUCCUUGUCAGGUAAGUUCUGACCCGCACGAAAGGUGUAACGAUUUGAGCACUGUCUCGACAACACGCCCGGUGAAAUUGAAGAACCAGUGAAGAUACUGGUUACCCGCAACAGGACGGAAAGACCCCAUGGAGCUUUACUGCAGUUUAAUAUUGGGAUUCGGUAUUGUAUGUACAGGAUAGGAGGGAGACUAAGAAGCUAGCACGCCAGUGUUGGUGGAGUCGAUGGUGGGAUACCUCUCUUAUAAUACUGAAUUUCUAACCUACUUCCGUAAUCCGGAAGAGGGACAUUGUUAGGCGGGCAGUUUGACUGGGGCGGUCGCCUCCGAAAGAGUAACGGAGGCGCUCAAAGGUCUUCUCAGAAUGAUUGGAAACCAUUCAAAGAGUGUAAAGGCAAAAGAAGGCUUGACUGCGAGAGUGACAACUCGAGCAGGUACGAAAGUAGGACUUAGUGAUCC
RNAcentral lists this ribosomal RNA (1507 nucleotides) under human gut metagenome. RNAcentral's name for it is "bacterial LSU rRNA". It matches the Rfam family "Bacterial large subunit ribosomal RNA", at positions 890 to 2421 of the family's 2925-position model. The record is from RNAcentral.